Molecule: long non-coding RNA, 1014 nt
Filed under: Struthio camelus australis
Lineage: Eukaryota; Metazoa; Chordata; Aves; Struthioniformes; Struthionidae
Description: lncRNA (ENSSCUG00000009826.1)
Source: RNAcentral
NNNNNNNNNNNCCGGAGAUGGGCCAGUGCCACAUGGGCCAGGACAGAGGGAUUUGCAGGGACAGCAUGAGGGAUCCACUUUCUCAGGGGUGCACGGUCUGCAGCACUCCCCUAGAGCUCCCUCCUGGGAGCAGGGAAGGGUGCAGGCAGCUGAGAGCAGGAUUUAUUUGUGGAAGGGCAUGCACAGUGCUUCAUCCUCUUUCUGCCCUCAAGAUUACUCUGGCAGUUUGCAGAAAAGCUCCUAAUGAAAGAAUCCUAUUAGCAGAGGGAGCGACGGGGGGAAAGGCUGUGCGCGGUCUGGCUCAGACGCAGGUUGCAGCCUGUGCAUCCUGCCUGUGUCCGGAGAGGCGCCCAGAGCCCCCACACCCUCAGAGAGGAUCACGCAAUCGACUGGGAGCCGCAGCGUGUCCCCAUUGCCCCACAGAGCUGAACCAAGGUGUCAGGGUGGUCAGCAGGGAGGCAGCGCCAUGUCCCUCCAACUCCCAGCACCUCCUUGCCCGAGCGGUUGCUGCCUUUUCCUUCCUGCCUCUGCUCGGGGCACUGUUCCUGGCUGCCCCCCAUGGAGAGCAAUCUUUGCUUGCUCCUCCAUGGCAAGACCCAUGGCUAUGGACCGGUGGAUCGGGGGGUGCCUGGAUGGCAGGACUUCUCCAGCCCUGGCCCUGCUUGCCCCAUGGCUCUGCCCUCACCCCGCGGUCCAGCUCCCCUGCCCAGCCAGGGCACCGAGCCAUGGGCAUCCCUGCUGGCCCCUGCCCGGGGACGCCCUCGCUCCUCAGCUGUCCCUCUGGCUUGGCCUGGCCACUCUCCCAAGGUCUAACAAAGGGGCAUCUGGCUGAAAUUUAAUAGCCUGUGACAUACAGGGGAUCAGGGCAGAUUAGCUAAUUACCCUGGUGGUGUGCAGCCCGCUGACACAUGGGAUCCCGACCCCCUUCUCCUCCCUCAUCCCCACGCCUCUACCCCGGGCAAAGCCAGGGCACCCUAGGACCACUGGCACAGCCGACAUCCCGGGACCCUGCUC